CAGCCGCCACGGGAAUACGUAGGGUGCGAGCGUUAAUCGGAAUUACUGGGCGUAAAGCGUGCGCAGGCGGUUCGUUAAGACAGAUGUGAAAUCCCCGGGCUUAACCUGGGAACUGCAUUUGUGACUGGCGAGCUAGAGUAUGGCAGAGGGGGGUAGAAUUCCACGUGUAGCAGUGAAAUGCGUAGAGAUGUGGAGGAAUACCGAUGGCGAAGGCAGCCCCCUGGGCCAAUACUGACGCUCAUGCACGAAAGCGUGGGGAGCAAACAGGAUUAGAGACCCCAGUAGUCCCUGUCUCUUAUAC
This 301-nucleotide ribosomal RNA is filed under the name uncultured bacterium. RNAcentral's name for it is "partial 16S ribosomal RNA". It matches the Rfam family "Bacterial small subunit ribosomal RNA", at positions 509 to 807 of the family's 1533-position model. The record is from RNAcentral.